AGUCAGUUUCAGGGCGGGGCGAAAUUCCCCACUGGCGGUAACGAAGGCGAGAAGCGUCGAAGAAGUCCGCGAGCCACCAUCACAAUGCGUGGUUGACCUGGUGUGAGUCCAGGACCAACGGUUACAGUCCGGAUGGAAGAAACGGAGG
Non-coding RNA from Coriobacteriaceae bacterium, 148 nucleotides. Lineage: Bacteria; Bacillati; Actinomycetota; Coriobacteriia; Coriobacteriales; Coriobacteriaceae. The record is from Rfam.